GAUGAAGAACGUAGCGAAAUGCGAUAAGUAAUGUGAAUUGCAGAAUUCAGUGAGUCAUCGAAUCUUUGAACGCACAUUGCGCCCCCUGGUAUUCCGGGGGGCAUGCCUGUCCGAGCGUCAUUACAACCCUCAAGCUCAGCUUGGUGUUGGGCCCCGCCGCCCCGGCGGGCCCUAAAGUCAGUGGCGGUGCCGUCCGGCUCCGAGCGUAGUAAUUCUUCUCGCUCUGGAGGUCCCGUCGUGUGCUCGCCAGCAACCCCCAAUUUUUUUCAGGUUGACCUCGGAUCAGGUAGGGAUACCCGCUGAACUUAAGCAUAUCAAUAAGCGGAGGA
Molecule: unclassified non-coding RNA, 329 nt
Filed under: soil metagenome
Description: partial contains 5.8S ribosomal RNA, internal transcribed spacer 2, and large subunit ribosomal RNA
Rfam family: 5.8S ribosomal RNA (bases 1-120)
Source: RNAcentral